UUGAAUAAAUCUGGCGUGGUUGUCGCUGGCUCCUAGGAGCAUGUGCACGCCCGUCACUUUUAUAUUUCCACCUGUGCACUCAUUGUAGAUCUGGAUAACUCUCGUUUGGUCUCCAAGCGGAUGCGAGGAUUGCUGCGCCCUUUCUGUGGUCAGCUUUCCUUGAAUUUCCAGGUCUAUGUCCUUCUUUACACACCCCAAUGAAUGUUGCAGAAUGUAGUCAAUGGGCUUUCAAUGCCUAUAAAACUUUAUA
Molecule: unclassified non-coding RNA, 250 nt
Filed under: uncultured Basidiomycota
Lineage: Eukaryota; Fungi; Basidiomycota
Description: sequence contains ITS1
Source: RNAcentral